This 449-nucleotide ribosomal RNA is filed under the name Phyllobacterium myrsinacearum. RNAcentral's name for it is "bacterial SSU rRNA". It matches the Rfam family "Bacterial small subunit ribosomal RNA", at positions 253 to 719 of the family's 1533-position model. The record is from RNAcentral. Lineage: Bacteria; Pseudomonadati; Pseudomonadota; Alphaproteobacteria; Hyphomicrobiales; Phyllobacteriaceae.
UGGGGUAAAGGCCUACCAAGGCGACGAUCCAUAGCUGGUCUGAGAGGAUGAUCAGCCACACUGGGACUGAGACACGGCCCAGACUCCUACGGGAGGCAGCAGUGGGGAAUAUUGGACAAUGGGCGCAAGCCUGAUCCAGCCAUGCCGCGUGAGUGAUGAAGGCCCUAGGGUUGUAAAGCUCUUUCACCGGUGAAGAUAAUGACGGUAACCGGAGAAGAAGCCCCGGCUAACUUCGUGCCAGCAGCCGCGGUAAUACGAAGGGGGCUAGCGUUGUUCGGAUUUACUGGGCGUAAAGCGCACGUAGGCGGACUAUUAAGUCAGGGGUGAAAUCCCGGGGCUCAACCCCGGAACUGCCUUUGAUACUGGUAGUCUUGAGUUCGAGAGAGGUGAGUGGAAUUCCCAGUGUAGAGGUGAAAUUCGUAAAUUUUCGGAGGAACACCAGUGGCGAA